This 468-nucleotide ribosomal RNA is filed under the name uncultured bacterium. RNAcentral's name for it is "partial 16S ribosomal RNA". It matches the Rfam family "Bacterial small subunit ribosomal RNA", at positions 28 to 507 of the family's 1533-position model. The record is from RNAcentral.
GACGAACGCUGGCGGCGUGCUUAACACAUGCAAGUCGAACGGAAAGGCCCUGCUUUUGUGGGGUGCUCGAGUGGCGAACGGGUGAGUAACACGUGAGUAACCUGCCCUUGACUUUGGGAUAACUUCAGGAAACUGGGGCUAAUACCGGAUAGGAGCUCCUGCUGCAUGGUGGGGGUUGGAAAGUUUCGGCGGUUGGGGAUGGACUCGCGGCUUAUCAGCUUGGUGGUGGGGUAGUGGCUUACCAAGGCUUUGACGGGUAGUCGGCCUGGGAGGGGGACCGGACAGGUUGGGACUGAGAUGCGGCCCAGCCUCGAACGGGAGGCAAGGGUGGGGAGUGGUAUAUAGCGGGAGGGAGCAAAACGUAGCGACGCCGCGUGGGGGAGAAGGAGAAUGGGGUCGGAGGGUACUCUCGUCUUGGAGGAGAAGAGAGUGACGGUAAUGGAUAAGGAAGCAACGGCUAACUACGUG